RNAcentral lists this long non-coding RNA (587 nucleotides) under Elaeis guineensis (African oil palm). RNAcentral describes it as "long non-coding RNA (EGUI_LNC054267)". The record is from RNAcentral. Lineage: Eukaryota; Viridiplantae; Streptophyta; Magnoliopsida; Arecales; Arecaceae.
CCCUAGGGUCGACCCAAUGGCAUACUUGAAAUUAUUGCCAACUUCCCACGGGUUCUUUUCUUUUUAACUUGAAGCCCGUUCAUAAGCCGACUCAUUCUUCUUCUUCGUCUUCCUCCCUCCAAGACUCGUCGUCCUCAUCAUUCGUUCUCUCCAAAACCAAGGAUUUAGCCCAAGAUCAUUCUCCCUUCACAUCUCCACCUCAAAUCACCCCUUGGGAAAGGAACUUCUCUCAUCUUUCUCCCUUGAUUGAAGCGGUUGAAGCGUGCCCUAGCUUCCACCGUUCUUCUCAAAAUCAUCAUUUUUCUCCGCCAAAAUCUCUUUCCAUCCUCUAGUAACCUUCCUUCUCCUCACCCAUUUGAUCUUCCGAGUCUCUCUGCCUGCUCUUGUAGUGAGAAUGGCCCCAAAGAUGAAACUCCCUCAAAGAAGGAAAUCAGUCCGUGUGCUGGAAGAAGGCAUCCGCAGAAAAAGGCAAGCUUCUCAGACCACCUCUGCUCCCUUUCCGGCUUCAGUGUCUGCACCAGGUCCCUCUCAGUCUCCCCUUAGCCCUAGCAAAAUCCCUCUCUCUGACAGAAAGGUAGAAACCGGCA